This 433-nucleotide ribosomal RNA is filed under the name uncultured bacterium. RNAcentral describes it as "partial 16S ribosomal RNA". It matches the Rfam family "Bacterial small subunit ribosomal RNA", at positions 29 to 507 of the family's 1533-position model. The record is from RNAcentral.
AACGAACGCUGGCGGCAUGCCUAACACAUGCAAGUCGAACGAGACCUUCGGGUCUAGUGGCGCACGGGUGCGUAACGCGUGGGAAUCUGCCCUUGGGUUCGGAAUAACAGUUGGAAACGACUGCUAAUACCGGAUGAUGACGUAAGUCCAAAGAUUUAUCGCCCAAGGAUGAGCCCGCGUAGGAUUAGCUAGUUGGUGAGGUAAAGGCUCACCAAGGCGACGAUCCUUAGCUGGUCUGAGAGGAUGAUCAGCCACACUGGGACUGAGACACGGCCCAGACUCCUACGGGAGGCAGCAGUGGGGAAUAUUGGACAAUGGGCGAAAGCCUAAUCCAGCAAUGCCGCGUGAGUGAUGAAGGCCUUAGGGUUGUAAAGCUCUUUUACCCGGGAUGAUAAUGACAGUACCGGGAGAAUAAGCUCCGGCUAACUCCGUG